UUUAGUAAGAAUUUAAUUUUGGUUCCGAUUGAACGUUAUUCAGUAGUUUUAAGACAUGCAAAUCAUUAUUUCUGAUAGUAAAUUUUAGAUUUAUUCUAAGAAAUAAGGUGUAGAGGUGAGUAUAGUAAAUAAGAUACCCUAUUAGUCUUCAGAAAUAGAAGAUAAUAAAGGAAAUUUUCUGCUUUAGGAUUCUAUUUACUUUGAUUAUGAUAGUUGGUAGAGGUAAUGGCCUACCAAGUCUUCAAUCAAAAGCCAAGUUUGACAGAACAUAUGGCCACAUUGGGAGUGUAAUACCCCAAGUAAUAUAAAAUUACCUGCAGUCAAGAAUAUUAGUCAAUGCUCGCAAGAGUGAACUAGCUAACUGAAAUCUUAAUAAAUAUUAAGAUAAGGUAAGAGAAAAUAAUGAUAAUAUCUUACUAUUAGUGUCGUCUAAAUUUGGUGCCAGAAGACUCGGUAAGACCUUAGACGCAAACGUUAAUCGUCAUAAUCAGGCGUAAAGGGUGUGUAGGCGGUUUAAAUUUUAAAAUUAAACUAGAAUCUAAAAGAGGAUAAGCUAAACAACAUAAUUAAUUAGGACUGACAACUUAUAAUAAUGUGGAGUACUAAAGGUUAAAGCUAUUUAUCUACUUAAGAUUGACGCUCAGAAACGAAGGGGAGAAUAAGAAACUUAGAUUAGAGACCUAAUUAUCUCUCUCAGUCAACGAUGAAUGGUAGUUAUUAAAAAUAAAUUAAUAUAAUUAGUAACGAGGUUAACACGAUGACCAUUCCGCCUUGUUAGUAAGACUGCAAAGUUGAAAACAAAAAAAUUAGUCGGUCUUGAAGCAAACGAAGUGAAGCAUGUUAUUUAAUACGAUAAUCCGCGUAAAAUCUUACCAGUUCUUGUAUAUUCUUAUAAAAAAAUAAUUUAAUUUUAAAUUAUUCAUUGUAAGAAUACAGGUGUUGCAUGGCUGUCGUCAGUCCGUGUCGUGAGAAGUUUGGUUAAAUCCGUAAACGGACGAAAUCCCUAGUAUUAAUUUAUACAUAAUACAUAAUAGUGUUGAUAAGAUGCUAAUUGGGGCUAAGACAAGUCAUUAUGGCCCUCAUGAACUGGGCUAUAGACGUGCCACAAAAACUUUUACAAAGUGAUGCAAUUCUGUCCUUAAAUAAAUUAAAAUUUAAUUUAUGAAAAUAAAGGAAAUAGGAGGAGCUAAUCAAUAAAGAAAGUUAACUAUUAAAUUAGUUGAAUUGUCAUCUGAAACUCGGUGACAUGAAAAAGGAAUUUCGAGUAAUCGUUGAUCAUUACGCAACGGUGAAUUAAGCAUUCAGGAUGAACUAACCGUCUGUCGCUGGGAAGAAGCUUGAUUUUAAGGAAGAUGUGUAUUGUUCUUAUUUUCUUAUUUUCAAUUUUAAAUGGAAAGUAUAAAUUAAUAUUUAUAUGAGUAUUAGUUUAAGAUUAUAUUAUUACUCAAUAGUAAUAUAUAUAAUAUAGAGAAUCAAAUUUGAUCUAUAAACGUGAUUGUCAAGAAAAACUGAACCCAACGAAUUAAAUUGAGUAACAUCUCAAAAGUCAUAGCAAGGUAGCCGUACUGGAAGGUGCUGCUGAAAAAUAAAACGA
RNAcentral lists this non-coding RNA (1594 nucleotides) under Tylopilus plumbeoviolaceoides. RNAcentral's name for it is "small subunit ribosomal RNA". It matches the Rfam family "Bacterial small subunit ribosomal RNA". The record is from RNAcentral. Lineage: Eukaryota; Fungi; Basidiomycota; Agaricomycetes; Boletales; Boletaceae.